GUGCCAGACACGGAGUGCCCUAACAGGGCUGAGAUGAUAUCCGUUGAACCUGAUCCAGCUAAUACUGGCGAAGGGAUGUCUGUUGCACUAUUU
This 93-nucleotide non-coding RNA is filed under the name Pseudoalteromonas luteoviolacea. RNAcentral's name for it is "TPP sequence". It matches the Rfam family "TPP riboswitch aptamer (THI element)". Rfam says of the family: Vitamin B(1) in its active form thiamin pyrophosphate (TPP) is an essential coenzyme that is synthesised by coupling of pyrimidine and thiazole moieties in bacteria. The previously detected thiamin-regulatory element, thi box was extended, resulting in a new, highly conserved RNA secondary structure, the THI element, which is widely distributed in eubacteria and also occurs in some archaea. The record is from RNAcentral. Lineage: Bacteria; Pseudomonadati; Pseudomonadota; Gammaproteobacteria; Alteromonadales; Pseudoalteromonadaceae.